Molecule: non-coding RNA, 1664 nt
Organism: Doryrhamphus excisus (bluestripe pipefish)
Lineage: Eukaryota; Metazoa; Chordata; Actinopteri; Syngnathiformes; Syngnathidae
Source: RefSeq, a predicted model, not a curated record
UCCUUGCCAGGUUGUUCAUUCUCCAGCAUGAGCCGUCAGGUCUGCUCAGAAACAACUGAAACAUGCUUAGGAAUUCUCCUUCAUUAAAUCCCUGCAGCUUCUGUCUCACUCACUUUAAACUUGCAUAUGAUAUAUCCAGGUCACCUUCUGCAGUUGGGCUUAGAAUGGCUGUGCCCAUUUUCAUGCUGGCACGGUGGUUGACAAACCAUUGACCGUUGGAGGCAAAACCAAUCAGGUACCACUUCCCUGCCAUCUGAGGUGCAAGAUAUUGUGUUUGAAUGUGAAUUAUCCAAAAAAUCCUCUGAGAAUGCUUACCCCCUGUACAUUGAAGUCAGCUGGGGGCAUGACUUCGGCAGACACCCCCAUGGAGGCGAGUGUGGCGGCCAGCAGUGUCAGCAGCAAGGUCAUAGCGAUGGUGAAGAAGUAGAGUAUGGCUGAAGAGCGCGUCUGCUGUCACACCAAAUCCUGAUAAUGACUUCAGUCAACAAGAAAACUGCUUUCAGGUGUCUGCCGCACCGGCAUCUCUCCAGGUCACUAAUGUGUGUAAGUGACAGGAAGAAAAACUCUGACUUUCUUGGAGCCACAUGUUGAUUUGAUUUUCAGACACCAUAAAGGAUCAGAUGAUUCCUCUGGACACCCCUGACAACCUCAGUGACCUCAUCACCUUGGGAGUUCGCAUUGAAAAGUGCCAGUGUCACAGAUUGAAGAACCUAUGUAGCUGGGAGGCAGCCGCUUUACUCCAACGGACAGGAUCAAGCGUCAGCGAUUGUGGUUGUGCAUCUGCUGCGGACAGGGGAGUCAACCCAUCUUCCACUGUCCCGUCCGUUCUGACCCAACCCCACCAGUGACCACUUAUGUGGAGAAGUCCUUCUUGUUAGAUGUGGCAUCCAGCCGGCUACAAUUGCCAGAAUCGAGUGUCCAAACAAAGCACCCAAAGCGUUGCUGACUCACUGCGAUUUGAUAAAGAAGGUGGGGGUCACCAUUGAUUUCAAGAAGGAAUUCAUCUGAAAGGACAGAUGGCACCCCCCUCUGCUUCCCACCAUUUUCACCAACAAGAUUCAUCAAGAAAGGGCGAAAGAAAAUCUAAACCCACAAGUGGUGAAAACAUGGAAGUGGUGAAACGUCCCAGUAGUGAACUGUCCAAAAAAAUGACCCCAAAAGCACAGCGAUGACUCAUCACAAAAGACCACACAACAACAUCCAAGAACUGCGGGCCUCACUUAAGGUCAGUCUUCAUGACUCCACAUGACUCAUGACUCCAUAAGAAAUAUGUGUGACAAACAUAAGAAAUCAGGAAGGGGGCAAACACUUUUUCACACCACUGCACAAUAAUUCUCGGUAAAAUGUAUUUUUUUUGUUAUUGUUUUUGGGUAUCUGGAGGUCGGCAUCCGGAUUAGAUACCCGAGCUACCUUAACUGGCUCCUCUGGAUGUGAUCUCUUCAGUAAACUCUUGAGUAAACUGUAUUUUUAUUGUUUAUUACUUAACGCUUUAUAAUUUUUUUACGUUUUUGUAUGAACUUUCGGAACAAAUUCUUAACGAAAACCGAUGUGCUACUGAGUAGCACACUUAUUAGAAACACAUUAGACCUAUUAGAAGUUAAAGGGGUACUGCAAUAUUUCACAAUCCUUAUGUGAAACAUGAACACAUAUAAUGCAGAGGAAAG